UAGGAAUCCGCUCGUGGCUGCUGCCCAGUGUGCUUUCCCACUGUCCUUUCCGCUGCGCAAGUGCGUGGCUGCCUCCGCCUGCGUGCGUGCGAGGUGUUGGGGCGUUUGCGUUGGGCCCCUUCGCCCCCGAAACAAAGCCUUUUGCAUAUCCAUCAUGCCAACGACUGACGGCCGCGUCCCAGGCGGCAAGUUACGGAGGAGCAUGAGUCGCGUCUUUGUUGCCUUCUUCGCUGCUGUGCUUUUCGUCGUCUUUCUCACCGCAUACGACGUCGGCGUUGGCACCGCCAACCCGCUUCAGUCGCGGCACAUGCAGCUCACGCAGAACGCAGUGAAGAAGAGUGAGGCAAAUCUAGUGAACUGCCGCGAGGUCAACGCGGAUUUAAAGAGCGGUGGUGGCGUCAAUGCCGCACAGGCGAUUGCGGAGAUGAGGCGGCAGAGAGAGGAGCUGAUGAACAUCGUCGCGCUGGAGCGUGAGCGUGUAGUGUCGGCGCGUAGUCUGCUGCAGGUUUGCGAGGAUGAGCUAGCCAGCGACCUCAGUGUACUCUUCGGUGUCGCCGACCACAACUUCACUGCGCGCAUCCGGUCGUUGGAGGAAAAGCGGAAACAUUUGGAGGGUUUGCACUCGAUGCUCAACACGACCCCGUUUGGUGCAGUGGAGCUGCGCCGCAGCAGCGAAAUCCGUGCACUGCAGGCGGCUCUCUUUCACGAGAUGCGCGCCAGCAAGAAGAAAGCAGAAAACGGUGUGGCGAACGGCGAAGCGUGCACGAAGACUUCGGACAAGUACUCCGUCGUGUUCGACAUCGGCAGCACUGGAAAUCGUGUCCAUGUCUACAAGUACAGAGUGGCCCCUGCCACGCAUACCGCUGCUGCGGCCGGCAGUGAGCUCAGCGACAUCGACCUCGUCGAGGAGUUGUUUGAGCUAAAUCACAAAGCCCUUAGCGAGCUCGAUAAUCCGGUGCAGGAUGCGCCGGAAGCCUUAUGGGAGCUCUUCAUGAAAGCCAAGUACUUUGUACCGGCGGAGCUGCACGCAUGCACGGCAGUCGAGUUCAAGGCUACCGCGGGACUGCGCAUGCUGGGGAUGGAGAAGGCCACCGAAAUUCUUGACGGGAUUCGCGCGCGCUACCGCAACGAAACGUUCUGGUUGCGCGGCAAUGCACCGGUUCGCAUCUUGGAUGCCUGCGAGGAGGGCCCAAUGGCGUGGCUCACGGUAAACUACUUACUGGGGGUAUUCUCCAGGGGUACAAAGGCAACCGCCUCGACGGUGGCCGUCAUCGACCUCGGAGGCGGCUCCACGCAGAUCGUCUUCGAACCCGGCGAGAGCGCGUUCCACGGGAUGCGCACCGAUUUGCGCUACUCGGCAACCUUGGGCAGCCGGUCUGUGAGUGCCUACCAACACAGCUACGAAGGCUACGGCCUGCACGCGGCCACCAAGGAGCUGCUUUUCCACAUUCAAGGCAAGAGCCAAGAGAAGCCGGGAGGCGGUACCACCACCAGCACAGCAACGACGACCACCACGACAACACCGGCAAACAGCGGCGACAAGGCUCUGUCUGUUUGGAACGUUCUGGGAAACCUGGGUGCAGACGGGAGCAGCGAGCGAGACGACAUCGUCACCAAGAGAGCGCCGCCGAUGCCACCACCGCCACUGCCGGACGCGGAGGCGGUGGAGGCGUUCCCCUGCUUCGCUGUCGGCUACGAAGACCCGCUAGGGGUGAAGAACAUCAAGAAAAACAAUACCGGGGAGCCGGCUAUGCCCCCGAACUUCCAGGCUUGCGCGAACCUUUUCCGCGAUCGGCUGCUAAAGCCAGUGGGGCUGACAUGUGAGGCGGCCAACUGCGGCAUCGCUGGUGUCAUGCAGCCACCGCUGACCAACUUCACCGGGGAAAUCUACGUGUUUUCGUUCAUCUUUGAUCUGCUGGCCUUGGCGAACAGCUCCCUGGUGCCAGCGGGGGCUGCCGUGUCAAGGGAAAAGUUUGAGGUGAAGCUGCCGGACCUAGCGACGAUUGCGGAGGGUCACUGCGCCGCCUUCUCCCUCACCCGUAUCGCCGAGGCGACCGCCAAGGAGGGCCUCGGUAGCCUGAAGCCGGAGUACGAGUGCAUGUAUUACUCCUACGUGUACGCGCUUCUCCGCUACGGGUACGAGGUGCCAGAGGAUCGCGUGCUGCACGUGGUGAAGAAGAUCCGCGGCUACGAGACCGCCUGGUCCCUCGGCGCCUCACUCCUCUCUCUUACCUAAAUUGCCUUCCGACGGGAAACGGCAUUUGGGCGUGGGAAGAGGAGAGGGCGGGGUCGCUGAUGUGCGGUGUUGCGGUGCAUCCUGAAGCGAUGGCUGGCAGGAUGACAGCCACGGGCGUGUGCAUGCGGCUCGCACUUCUCUAUAUCCUCCUCACCCCUCCAUCUCCUCGUCAACAGAGCAGUGCCUUCUUGUCCGCCCUUUCGCUGGUACCGUGUAUCAGGCGACGGCCAUGCCGUUGUCGCUGUCGGCUGUGUGUGCGUGUGUAUGUCAAGCCAGGUUUACGUUGUGCUUUCUCCGUCGAUCUCUCUUGCAAUGUACCUCGUGUAAAGCCAUGACGUCUGUUGUUGUUGCCGAAGGUGCGCGACAGGAAGGAAAGACGGAGGGAUGAUGCAAAAACAACGUGUGGAUGAGGAGUGGGCCUAGGCACUCUCCGCUAUUCCAGUGACAUGCAUCACCGCGUACCUAGCUUCUCCCUAACUCCCUUAUGCUCUUAUACUCAUGGCUGAUCUCGAGGAGCGACGUCGUUAUGCGCGUUUAG
RNAcentral lists this unclassified non-coding RNA (2774 nucleotides) under Leishmania donovani. RNAcentral describes it as "gene:LdHU3.10.0260(CDS-product:guanosine_diphosph atase_putative)". The record is from RNAcentral. Lineage: Eukaryota; Euglenozoa; Kinetoplastea; Trypanosomatida; Trypanosomatidae.